This 492-nucleotide ribosomal RNA is filed under the name uncultured bacterium. RNAcentral describes it as "partial 16S ribosomal RNA". It matches the Rfam family "Bacterial small subunit ribosomal RNA", at positions 29 to 507 of the family's 1533-position model. The record is from RNAcentral.
AGUGAACGCUGGCGGUAUGCCUAACACAUGCAAGUCGAACGGCAGCACAGUAAGAGCUUGCUCUUACUGGUGGCGAGUGGCGGACGGGUGAGGAAUACAUCGGAAUCUACUUUUUCGUGGGGGAUAACGUAGGGAAACUUACGCUAAUACCUCAUACGACCUACGGGUGAAAGCAGGGGAUCUUCGGACCUUGCGCGAUUGAAUUAGCCGAUGUCGGAUUAGCUAGUUGGCUGGGUAAAGGCCCACCAAGGCAACGAUCCGUAGCUGGUCUGAGAGGAUGAUCAGCCACACUGGAACUGAGACACGGUCCAGACUCCUACGGGAGGCAGCAGUGGGGAAUCUUGGACAAUGGGCGCAAGCCUGAUCCAGCAAUACCGCGUGGGUGAAGAAGGCCUUCGGGUUGUAAAGCUCUUUUGUUGGGAAAGAAAAGAAGCAGGUUAAUCCCCCGAUGUUCUGACGGUACCCAAAGAAUAAGCACCGGCUAACUUCGUG